Molecule: ribosomal RNA, 460 nt
Filed under: uncultured bacterium
Lineage: Bacteria
Description: partial 16S ribosomal RNA
Rfam family: Bacterial small subunit ribosomal RNA
Source: RNAcentral
CCUACGGGUGGCAGCAGUGAGGAAUAUUGGUCAAUGGACGAGAGUCUGAACCAGCCAAGUAGCGUGAAGGAUGACUGCCCUAUGGGUUGUAAACUUCUUUUAUAAAGGAAUAAAACGAGGCACGUGUGCCUUUUUGCAUGUACUUUAUGAAUAAGGAUCGGCUAACUCCGUGCCAGCAGCCGCGGUAAUACGGAGGAUCCGACCGUUAUCCGGAUUUAUUGGGUUUAAAGGGAGCGUAGAUGGGUUGUUAAGUCAGUUGUGAAAGUUUGGGGGUCAACCGUAAAAUUGCAAUGGAUACUGGCAGUCUAGAGUACAGUUGAGGUAGGCGGAAUUCGUGGUGUAGCGGUGAAAUGCUUAGAUAUCACGAAGAACCCCGAUUGCGAAGGCAGCUUACUAGACUGUGACUGACAUUGAUGCUCGAAAGUGUGGGUAUCAAACAGGAUUAGAUACCCUUGUAGUC